Ochotona princeps (American pika) is the source of this 71-nucleotide small nucleolar RNA. RefSeq annotates it as small nucleolar RNA SNORD45. Lineage: Eukaryota; Metazoa; Chordata; Mammalia; Lagomorpha; Ochotonidae. The record is from RefSeq and is a predicted model, not a curated record. The transcript has a single exon.
GGUCAGUGAUGUCAUGGCAUGUAUUAGCUGAAUCUCCACUGAUGUGCGUUCCAAAAUUACACUGAGACCUG